This 250-nucleotide ribosomal RNA is filed under the name uncultured bacterium. Its description in RNAcentral is "partial 16S ribosomal RNA". It matches the Rfam family "Bacterial small subunit ribosomal RNA", at positions 525 to 774 of the family's 1533-position model. The record is from RNAcentral.
ACAGAGGGGGCAAGCGUUGUUCGGAAUUACUGGGCGUAAAGGGCGCGUAGGCGGCCUGUUAAGUCGAACGUGAAAUCCCCGGGCUCAACCCGGGAACUGCGUCCGAUACUGGCAGGCUUGAAUUCGGGAGAGGGAUGUGGAAUUCCAGGUGUAGCGGUGAAAUGCGUAGAUAUCUGGAGGAACACCGGUGGCGAAGGCGGCAUCCUGGACCGAUAUUGACGCUGAUGCGCGAAAGCCAGGGGAGCAAACG